AGAGAUGUUGUGGAGCCUCCUCAGGAGAUAUUCAAGACCCACCUGAAUGCCUGCUUGUCUGACUGCCACAGGGAACCUGCUUUAGCAGAGGUGCAAGACUCUACAGUUGCUCUUCUUAAACCUCAUCUGGUUUCUUACUGCCCAGCUCUCCAGUCUGUCCAGGUCUUGCUGAAUAGCAGCACAACCUCUGGCAUAUCAACCACUUCUCCCAGCUUUGUAUCAGCGUAAUUGCUCACAGUGGAUGCUACUCCCUCAUCAAGGUCAUCAAUGAAGAUACUGAACAAGACUGGACCCAGCACCGACACCUGAGGAACACCACUAGUUACAGGUCUCCAACCGGACUCUGCACUGCUGAUUGCCACCCUCUGAGCUCAUCAGCCAGUUCUCAACCCACCUUGCUAUCCAUUCAUCUUUCCCACACUUUCUUAGCUUUGUUAUGAGGAUGUCACGGGGGACAUUAUCAAAAGCCUUGCUGAAGUCAAGGUAGACCACAUCUAUUGCUCUCCCCCUAUCUACCCAGCUGGUGAUGACAUCAUAGAAGACUACAAGGUUGAUCAAGCACGAUUUUCCCUUUGUGAGUCCAUGCUGACCAUUCCUGAUGACCUUCUUCUCUUCCGAUUGCUUGGAGAUGCCAUCCAGAACAAGCUGUUACAUCACCUUUCCAGGGAAAGAGACAAUGCACGGUCCUAGCAAGUGCUAUGGAGAGCACUCUGCUCAAGAUUCCUGAUGCCAUAACAGCUACUUGGGAUCGGCAAACCAGUCACUGCUUCACCACCCACUCUGCCGUCGGUAAAAUGGUGAAGGUCAUCAGCAAAACACGGGGCCCGCUGCUGUGAACGGUCUUGGGUCUAGCUCAGAGCCUUCUGCCGCGCUCUACACUCCCCUCUCCUGGAGCUAUGAUCCGACCGCGUCAGAUCUCGAUAGCUGCUUUCCCACGGCCUCUGCAAGGACAGCGCACUCCCGCUGAUGACUAAGCAAGCAACCAACCCCUCACAGCUGCACAGCAGGUGAGGCGAUCCCCGCGGCGCGC
Long non-coding RNA from Lagopus leucura (white-tailed ptarmigan), 1030 nucleotides. RefSeq lists it as uncharacterized. NCBI's taxonomy places the organism in Eukaryota, Metazoa, Chordata, Aves, Galliformes, Phasianidae. The transcript has 3 exons. The record is from RefSeq and is a predicted model, not a curated record.